This 193-nucleotide transfer-messenger RNA is filed under the name Elizabethkingia meningoseptica. Its description in RNAcentral is "partial transfer-messenger RNA". It matches the Rfam family "transfer-messenger RNA", at positions 155 to 374 of the family's 374-position model. Rfam says of the family: Bacterial tmRNA, also known as 10Sa RNA or SsrA, is named for its dual tRNA and mRNA-like properties. Its role is to liberate the mRNA from a stalled ribosome. Lineage: Bacteria; Pseudomonadati; Bacteroidota; Flavobacteriia; Flavobacteriales; Weeksellaceae. The record is from RNAcentral.
UUGGAUUCCGGGAUAUAGUAAUGCGGAAAUAAGGUAACGGGCGCUUCGACUGUUACACGAAAAUCUCAGAAGAUAAGGUAAAAGUUGUGCGCUUUCUCACUGCUUUUUCCCGACAAUUAACAGAAAGAUAAGCAUGUAGAAGGCUUAUGUACUGCCUGUUUGGACGAGGGUUCGACUCCCUCCAGCUCCACAA